CCUGACUGCUAUCGGAUUGAUACUAAGCCAUGCGAGUCAUUGUAGCAAUACAAGGCAUACGGCUCAGUAACGCGUAGUCAACCUAACCUAUGGACGGGAAUAACCUCGGGAAACUGAGAAUAAUGCCCGAUAGAACACUAUACCUGGAAUGGUUUGUGUUCCAAAUGAUUUAUCGCCAUAGGAUGGGACUGCGGCCUAUCAGUUUGUUGGUGAGGUAAUGGCCCACCAAGACUAUUACAGGUACGGGUUCUGAGAGGAGUAGCCCGGAGAUGGGUACUGAGACACGGACCCAGGCCCUAUGGGGCGCAGCAGGCGAGAAAACUUUGCAAUGUGCGAAAGCACGACAAGGUUAAUCCGAGUGAUUUGUGCUAAACGAAUCUUUUGUUAGUCCUAGAAACACUAACGAAUAAGGGGUGGGCAAGUUCUGGUGUCAGCCGCCGCGGUAAAACCAGCACCUCAAGUGGUCAGGAUGAUUAUUGGGCCUAAAGCAUCCGUAGCCGGCUCUGUAAGUUUUCGGUUAAAUCUGUACGCUUAACGUACAGGCUGCCGGGAAUACUGCAGAGCUAGGGAGUGGGAGAGGUAGACGGUACUCGGUAGGAAGUGGUAAAAUGCUUUGAUCUAUCGAUGACCACCUGUGGCGAAGGCGGUCUACCAGAACACGUCCGACGGUGAGGGAUGAAAGCUGGGGGAGCAAACCGGAUUAGAUACCCGGGUAGUCCCAGCUGUAAACUAUGCAAACUCAGUGAUGCAUUGGCUUGUGGCCAAUGCAGUGCUGCAGGGAAGCCGUUAAGUUUGCCGCCUGGGAAGUACGUACGCAAGUAUGAAACUUAAAGGAAUUGGCGGGGGAGCACCACAAGGGGUGAAGCCUGCGGUUC
RNAcentral lists this ribosomal RNA (875 nucleotides) under uncultured marine group I thaumarchaeote. Its description in RNAcentral is "bacterial SSU rRNA". It matches the Rfam family "Archaeal small subunit ribosomal RNA", at positions 21 to 903 of the family's 1478-position model. The record is from RNAcentral. Lineage: Archaea; Thermoproteati; Nitrososphaerota.